Molecule: small nuclear RNA, 104 nt
Filed under: Mandrillus leucophaeus (drill)
Lineage: Eukaryota; Metazoa; Chordata; Mammalia; Primates; Cercopithecidae
Source: RNAcentral
GUGCUUGCUUCAGCGGCACACAUACUACAAUUGGAACAAUACAGAGAUUAGCAUGGCCCCUGUGCAAGGAUGACAUGCAAAUUCAUGAAGCAUUCCAUAUACAU